RNAcentral lists this ribosomal RNA (492 nucleotides) under uncultured bacterium. RNAcentral describes it as "partial 16S ribosomal RNA". It matches the Rfam family "Bacterial small subunit ribosomal RNA", at positions 29 to 507 of the family's 1533-position model. The record is from RNAcentral.
AGUGAACGCUGGCGGUAGGCCUAACACAUGCAAGUCGAACGGCAGCACAGUAAGAGCUUGCUCUUACGGGUGGCGAGUGGCGGACGGGUGAGGAAUACAUCGGAAUCUACUUUUUCGUGGGGGAUAACGUAGGGAAACUUACGCUAAUACCGCAUACGACCUACGGGUGAAAGCAGGGGAUCUUCGGACCUUGCGCGAUUGAAUGAGCCGAUGUCGGAUUAGCUAGUUGGCGGGGUAAAGGCCCACCAAGGCGACGAUCCGUAGCUGGUCUGUGAGGCUGAUCAGCCACACUGGAAGUGAGACACGGUCCAGACUCCUACGGGAGGCAGCAGUGGGGAAUAUUGGACAAUGGGCGCAAGCCUGAUCCAGCCAUACCGCGUGGGUGAAGAAGGCCUUCGGGUUGUAAAGCCCUUUUGUUGGGAAAGAAAAGCAGCAGGUUAAUACCCCGCUGUUCUGACGGUACCCAAAGAAUAAGCACCGGCUAACUUCGUG